UACGAAGGGUGCAAGCGUUACUCGGAAUUACUGGGCGUAAAGCGUGCGUAGGUGGUUUGUUAAGUCUGUUGUGAAAGCCCCGGGCUCAACCUGGGAAUGGCAAUGGAUACUGGCAGGCUAGAGUGCGGUAGAGGGUAGUGGAAUUCCCGGUGUAGCGGUGAAAUGCGUAGAGAUCGGCAGGAACACCCAGGGGGAAACCAGCCGACUGGGGAUGUGCUGACGCUGAGGUGCGAGAGCGUGGGGAGCGAACCGG
Molecule: ribosomal RNA, 253 nt
Filed under: uncultured bacterium
Lineage: Bacteria
Description: partial 16S ribosomal RNA
Rfam family: Bacterial small subunit ribosomal RNA
Source: RNAcentral